Ailuropoda melanoleuca (giant panda) is the source of this 5471-nucleotide long non-coding RNA. RefSeq lists it as uncharacterized. The record is from RefSeq and is a predicted model, not a curated record. The transcript is spliced from 2 exons. Lineage: Eukaryota; Metazoa; Chordata; Mammalia; Carnivora; Ursidae.
CCCCCGCCACACAAGAGACCCAGGGCUCAGCAUGCGAACACGUGGGCUGGCCUGCUCCAUGCUCUCAGGUCCCCUAUCCCCCACGCCGGGUCCCUCCUAAAGUUGGAAAGAAGCCUUUUGUGUUAGGUGGCCUGCUACAGGGUCUGAGGGCCUCCCUGGGUGCAGUGUGUGAGAACAGGAGUGGUCUCCCCUCUCCACUUCUCUGCUGAGCCUCUGAGCUGGGGCUGGAAGGGCUGCAGGAGAUGUGGCCCCCACGGUCUGGCAGGGGCUGGACCCAGCUCUCUGUUCAUGGAGGAGAAAUGUGCCACGUUAUUGCCCCUGGGGAUUUUGAGAGGGAGCAGCACAAGGCCGAACUUCAGACACCGGCUUAGUCGUCAUGGCUACUCCACAGAAGGGUGUCUGAGAGAGGCCCAUGGGAUCCUGGGGUAGGGACCUCAGACCUGUGAGUGCUGGGCUGAGUGACCAGUCAGCCCCCUCCACCUGCCAAGUCCAUACACACCCCAUCUGGCACGUGAGGGCCCGGGGGCUGGGGUGGCAGUGCACCCCUGCAAGCACAGAGGGUCUGAAGCAGCUGCCCUGAGAGCUGGCCCCCUCAUGGGGGUCCCUAGCGUGCCCUACCACAGGAGGCCAGGGAUCACACCCCUGCCCUGCUUGUGCCUGGGAUGACCUCGGGGCCAGGGGAGCUCGGGCACCACGCCCCAUGGGAAGGCCAGGAAGCUGCUGGUCAGCUACACUGUGGACUCCGUACACAGGAGGGAGGCCCCACGCCCUCCUGUUUGGCCCCAGCACCUCGACUGCCGGUGCCAACAGCCGGGAGCUGAUGCUCAGCUAAGAUUAGUUCCAGAGCACAAGCCAUUCCUGGCAGCAUCACUGUCCAAACCAGGAUCGAUGGGGUAGCGUCACAGCUGGACUCCCAACACCUGUGUCCCGUCUUGGGUCCUCCUGCCUCCCGGAAGCAGGCCUGGCCUCUCUGGGCUGCCCGCAAGGCCGGAACCCCUCCCAGGGAGGCCUAGAGCCAUGGGCUCCAGGACAGCUUUGGGUGGUCUGGGAAGAAUGGCUUCUCCCUCCUGGGUCCUAACCAGAAUGGAGGAAGCUCCGGGGGCAGGGGAGGGGGCAGCGGGCAGCUAGUCCAGCCUGAGGGUGGGCUCUCCAGUGUCUGGUCAUCGCUAAACCCUGCUCCGGGCUUCCUUCUGGCCCCGAGCUGUAUCAGGGCUCACGGGCUAGACACAGCUGGACCCUGGUUGUGGUGCAGUGGCUUGUAGCUCCUGCUGGAGGCCAGGGCGGGAGCUCCUCCCCGUGUGAGAGCUGAGCUGUCCCCCACUGCUGGCCCCCAUGUGUCCCAGGCCCCGGUUCACACAGUGUAAACACUGAAGCCCUGUUUCCUCAGUGAGCUCGAUAGCCCCCAGACUGGACAGAGUGUUUCCAGAAGAAAGCUCCAGAACCACAGAGCGGUAAGGGUGNGGGGGGGGGUGCGUGGAUAGUGCCCCUCUGUGGAGAGCAGGAGUGGUGCACAGACAGAGCGCACGGGGCGGGGGGUGGGGAGCCGCUGCAGCCUUGCACCCCAAAGUGCAUGUCUGAGGGAGGCAUGUGCCACGGCCCCGCACGCAGACGCCCCUGCUGGGAGGCACACUCACCGUUUUCCCGGUGCUGGAAGGAAGGCGAGAACUCUUUGGCAGUGAUCCUGGCGAUGCGUGCCUCCUCCUGGGCCUUCUGUGCUGCGGUGAGGGCGGCCUCAGCCUUGGCCCGGGAGUGGGAGGUCCUGGCAGGGGGAGGCAGGGAGGGCGGUCAGGGCUCUAGAAGCAAGGUGGACGGCCAAUGGCUUCCGGACCCCGUGCAUUCAUUCAUCCAGCCAACAAACCACGCCCCAAAGAGCGGGCCUCAGUGCUUGCCCGUGCCUCCGGGCCCAGGGCGCACCCCAGCGAGGGCAGGACCUGGCCUAGGACGGAUGUCUGCGCCCACAGGAGGGCUCAGCCCGGUCCAGCAGCAGGUCCUGCUGAAGGAGCCUCCGUCCUGCCUGGUGUCGUGUCCGCACGCUAGAGGACAAAACGCACAGCCAGCUCAUCUCUGAGCCUUCAGACACAAGCAGGAGCCUGGUCCAUGCCGGCCUGCCCAGGCAGGGAGUUGGGGUACCCAGCCACACCUGUGGGGUGAGCAACGGGCUGGCCCGGCUCUGGAGCGGGAACGGGGCAGGCUCUCAGAAGGUCCAAGGGCGUAAGGAACAAAACGCACCUUCCCUGGGAGCAGGCUUGACUCCAGGCCCAGGGUGGCCAGCGGCUGCCAGGGCUGAACCCCGUGUCGGAGCCGGACCUGCCUCCCAGGCCAGCGCCAGCCCAGCAGCCACCGGGGCAGCCUCCGAACGCCUCUGCCCCAUGGCACCUGUGGGGCUCCGGGAAAGGAAGCUGGGGUGCACAGGGGCUGACCUGCGGCUGGCCUGUGGCCACCCGACCCUCUUGGCUAUCCCGUCACUCCCCUGCAGACGUGUGCAGGGGACCAGCACAGAGCUUGAGAGAUUUCUCCAAGUCAGCAUGAAACGUGGUCUCCAGACGCUGAGAGAAGUCACGUCCGCGUACCACGGGCUCUGUCCAGGGAGGACGCCCAGCUCCCCUCGGCUCCUAACUGGGGGUGACUGCCACGUGGAGCACAGGCAUGGCCCUGCCCUGUAGGACCUGUGUGGCCUGGGGAGGUGCUUCUCUGGGACUCAGUUUACCCCCUUGGUCCCACGGACUCUGGCAGCACCGCCCUCGUGUGUGGGGCCUAACAUUCCUAAGCUCAGGCCUGACAUGGGAGACUCUUACACACACACACACACACACACUCCCGACAGCCCCACCCCGAGAAUGCCACACCCCAGCGAGGACGCUGCCUUGCACCUGCCCGCAGGACGACCCCGUGGUGUCUCCAUGCGGAAGCCCACACGAGACCCACCUCCUAUGCUGACGGGGUGCCCGAGGCAGGAUGAGCCCGGGGGUCUGUGCCCCUCCCCAGCCUGGUGUCCUGGCUCCAGGGCACUGCAUCCCAACCCUGGAGACACCAAUAAGCUGUGGCUCGUCCCUGAGAGGGGCAGCCUGUCACCAAUGACAGAUCACUUGAUAAAUGGUCAGUGCUUCCUGAGGACCCCUCCCCGCGGGGCUGCUGGAGCCCUGGAGGAGCCACUUCCGCCCCACCCUGCCCAGCCUCCAGGCUGCAGCCCCGCCCCUGACACUCUGCUCCACGUGCUCUGCACCGCGUCCUGCCCCAGCCUCACCACAGCCUUCACCAGACCGUGGUGCCCUGCAGCUAAGACACGCGUCCUGAACACAGUGGACAGACGAGGCCCAGCUGGACGGCCUGGCCCCAGGGAGGGGUGCUCUUGACGACGGUGCAUUCUUGACAUGCACCCAGACCAGCACAGCGGCUGAGCUUGGCUCUGGGGAAAUGAUACAGACUUCCCCAGAAUGUUCCAUGAGUUGGUUUGGUUUGCCCUAAUGACUGUUACCAAGCUGUGGUGCACGUGCCAUAGAGUUCACCCAUUUAAGGUCUACAAUGCAGUGGUUUUUGGGGUCUUCAUGGCAUGCACUCACACUGCACCCCUUUAAGAAUGCCUUCAGCACCCCAAGACCCCACGCCCUUUAUCCCCAGUGACCCCCUCGCCCGGCCCCUCCCCACAGCCCUCUCCGUCAGGGGGUCUGCUCUGACUCUCCUGCCCAGCUGGUUCUCUUGUGACUCACGUUUUUAACUGCAGCUCAUCUAACGAAUUAAAAGGGUACCGUUGGGGCACCAAGCACAUUCACCAGACUGUGCAGGAAGUAUUUCCGUCUGGUUCCAGGAUGUUUCCAUCCCCCAGAAGGAAGCCCGUCCCCAUGAGCAGUCCCUCCCCACUCCCACCUUGCCCCCGCUUGGGGGCUUCUCCUUGACCAUUUGGCGUUGACAAAGCACCCGCCAUGGUCACGGGGCCCGACUGCACAUGGCUGUUGCGUGCAACACUGGUGCCCCUACAUCCGGGGAUCUGAGCGGGCGAUGCGUGUGUCUGCCGGGGAUCUGAGCAGGCAAUGACCACCCUAGCCUCUUGGACACCUCCGUGCACUGUGUCUGGGAAGGGCCCGUUCCAGGCGCACAGUGCGCUCCUGUCCAUGCUGGUGCGGGCUGCAGACCCAGCCAUGGAGGUCAGGUGAGGGAACACAGGGGCUCCCAAGCCCGGUGGGAGGCACCGCGAGGUCGAGAAAUGCCCGCAGACAGACGCCCAGGCCUCUUGGUGUGAGCAGUCCCGCGGGCCAUCACAGCACUCACAGGGCCCGCACCCCAGUGCCUUCCAGUAAGCAGCUGCCCUGUGGACUUGUUCGCGAGCAGACCAGACGGAGAGCAGCGGAGCUGAGCAGGGGCACACACGCUGUGCCGGAGGCCUUGAGCUCUCUGGAGGCCAGGCCCAGCAGGGGAACGUCAUGGGUGCCAUUCAGGGGCACACGUCCGACACAAACCUGGGGCUCAGGAGAGGGACGGCCAGGCUCUGGACCUGGAAGAACCUUGUCAGCCUCACAGGGGCCUCAGGCUUCCCGGGAAGACCCUCGAUGCUGUCUGCUGGGGUCACGCAAACAGCGUUGCCAACCAGGUGAAUGUGGGUGGACAUGGAGCCCAAACAGCUCUGGACCAAGAGACAGGACAGCUCACCCCCCAAGAUGGGUGGCAGAGCGUGGCCACUGGAGGAAAUGCCGCGGGGUAAUGGGCACCUACAGACGGCCGGUGAGGAGGAGUGCUGAGAGCUUUCGGGGCCACAGCCAAGUGCGCACGCGCUGUUGGACGAGGUUGCUCACGGGUCGGAGGUCAGAAGAGCAGUGAGACAUUGUGUCGGUGGAAGAAAGCAGCGAUCUUGAGGGCUCCUCAUUCGGAGGAACGUGCCUGCGCGUGUGUCAUACGAGCGCCCACCUCGCGGGACUGUGCUUCAGUCCAAGUGUCGGGCUAGCAGGGCAUGGUGUGGCAGCAUCUGCACACGUGCCACGACGGCAUGCGUGUCAGCAUGUGGGUGCCACCCCUUCAGGUCCUCCGUCCCCACUGGACACGUGGCUUAGCCACGGCAGCCUCUCCCACGGAGGAGCUCCUCUAACAGCCUCCCUUCUGUUUCUGUCCCAAACCCUGUAAACAAAGUGACCAGGCUCCCCACCCCCACCUUCUCCGGUGACACAGGGCUGCUGCCAGGGAGGGUCCGUGGGACCCCACAUCUUCGGGCAGCGGCUGCACGGCGCUGGUGUGGCCUGGGCCCAGACGGACGGCGAGAGCCUGGUCACUACCAUCACGCUGUCCCGUGGGCUCCCGGCCUCGAGCCUAGAGGCUCUGCUGCUGUCCUGCAGCCCACACAGUGGGCUCCGGCCCCACCGUCCCACAGGGGACCCUCCCGCGCGGGGCACGCUCCCAGAGAGCAGGGUGUGCCCACCCCUGGAGGGGCCGCUGUUUGCUUUCCACAUCUUCGCUUAGUAAAAAUACCACAAACGUUAAUUCAC